RNAcentral lists this transfer RNA (71 nucleotides) under Streptomyces phage Jay2Jay. It matches the Rfam family "tRNA". From Rfam's summary of the family: Transfer RNA (tRNA) molecules are approximately 80 nucleotides in length. Their secondary structure includes four short double-helical elements and three loops (D, anti-codon, and T loops). The record is from Rfam by way of RNAcentral. Lineage: Duplodnaviria; Heunggongvirae; Uroviricota; Caudoviricetes; Stanwilliamsviridae.
GUGGCUGUAUCAUAAAAGUAAUGUACUAGGCUGUGAACCUAGAUAAGAGGGGGCAGUACCCUCCAGUCACC